GACGAACGCUGGCGGCGUGCUUAACACAUGCAAGUCGAACGGAAAGGCCCUGCUUUUGUGGGGUGCUCGAGUGGCGAACGGGUGAGUAACACGUGAGUAACCUGCCCUUGACUUUGGGAUAACUUCAGGAAACUGGGGCUAAUACCGGAUAGGAGCUCCUGCUGCGUGGUGGGGGUUGGAAAGUUUCGGCGGUUGGGGAUGGACUCGCGGCUUAUCAGCUUGUUGGUGGGGUAGUGGCUUACCAAGGUUUUGACGGGUAGCCGGCCUGAGAGGGUGACCGGCCACAUUGGGACUGAGAUACGGACCAGACUCCUACGGGAGGCAGCAGUGGGGAAUAUUGCACAAUGGGCGGAAGCCUGAUGCAGCAACGCCGCGUGCGGGAUGACGGCCUUCGGGUUGUAAACCGCUUUCGCCUGUGACGAAGCGUGAGUGACGGUAAUGGGUAAAGAAGCACCGGCUAACUACGUG
This 468-nucleotide ribosomal RNA is filed under the name uncultured bacterium. Its description in RNAcentral is "partial 16S ribosomal RNA". It matches the Rfam family "Bacterial small subunit ribosomal RNA", at positions 28 to 507 of the family's 1533-position model. The record is from RNAcentral.